AUUGAACGCUGGCGGCAUGCCUUACACAUGCAAGUCGAACGGUAACGGGCCUUCGGGUGCCGACGAGUGGCGAACGGGUGAGUAAUACAUCGGAACGUGCCCGAUCGUGGGGGAUAACGAGGCGAAAGCUGUGCUAAUACCGCAUACGAUCUACGGAUGAAAGCAGGGGACCGCAAGGCCUUGCGCGGACGGAGCGGCCGAUGGCAGAUUAGGUAGGUGGUGGGAUAAAAGCUUACCAAGCCGACGAUCUGUAGCUGGUCUGAGAGGAUGAUCAGCCACACUGGGACUGAGACACGGCCCAGACUCCUACGGGAGGCAGCAGUGGGGAAUUUUGGACAAUGGGCGCAAGCCUGAUCCAGCCAUGCCGCGUGCAGGAUGAAGGCCUUCGGGUUGUAAACUGCUUUUGUACGGAACGAAAAGCCUUCUUUUAAUACAGGAGGGUCAUGACGGUACCGUAAGAAUAAGCACCGGCUAACUACGUG
This 482-nucleotide ribosomal RNA is filed under the name uncultured bacterium. RNAcentral's name for it is "partial 16S ribosomal RNA". It matches the Rfam family "Bacterial small subunit ribosomal RNA", at positions 30 to 507 of the family's 1533-position model. The record is from RNAcentral.